This 868-nucleotide ribosomal RNA is filed under the name uncultured Actinomycetales bacterium. RNAcentral describes it as "bacterial SSU rRNA". It matches the Rfam family "Bacterial small subunit ribosomal RNA", at positions 30 to 911 of the family's 1533-position model. Lineage: Bacteria; Bacillati; Actinomycetota; Actinomycetes; Actinomycetales. The record is from RNAcentral.
CGAACGCUGGCGGCGUGCUUAACACAUGCAAGUCGAGCGAUGAAGCACCUUCGGGUGUGAAUUAGCGGCGAACGGGUGAGGAACACGUGAAGAAUCUGCCUUCAACUCUGGGAUAACUCCGGGAAACCGGGGCUAAUACCGGAUAUGAGCCUUGAUCGCAUGAUCGGGGCUGGAAAGUUUUUCGGUUGAAGAUGACUUCGCGGCCUAUCAGCUUGUUGGUGAGGUAAUGGCUCACCAAGGCGACGACGGGUAGCCGGCCUGAGAGGGCGACCGGCCACACUGGGACUGAGACACGGCCCAGACUCCUACGGGAGGCAGCAGUGGGGAAUAUUGGGCAAUGGAGGAAACUCUGACCCAGCGACGCCGCGUGAGGGAUGAAGGCCUUCGGGUUGUAAACCUCUUUCAGUAGGGAAGAAGCGAAAGUGACGGUACCUACAGAAGAAGCACCGGCUAACUAUGUGCCAGCAGCCGCGGUAAUACAUAGGGUGCAAGCGUUGUCCGGAAUUAUUGGGCGUAAAGAGCUCGUAGGUGGUUCGAUACGUCGGAUGUGAAAAUCAGGGGGCUCAACCCCUGACCUGCAUCCGAUACGGUCGAGCUAGAGUUUGGUAGGGGAGACUGGAAUUCCUGGUGUAGCGGUGGAAUGCGCAGAUAUCAGGAGGAACACCGAUGGCGAAGGCACUUCCCUGGGCCGUAACUGACGCUGAGGAGCGAAAGCGUGGGGAGCGAACAGGAUUAGAUACCCUGGUAGUCCACGCCGUAAACGGUGGGUGCUAGUUGUGGGUUCCAUUCCACGGAAUCCGUGACGAAGUUAACACAUUAAGCACCCCGCCUGGGGAGUACGGUCGCAAGACUAAAACUUAAAUGAAUU